RNAcentral lists this ribosomal RNA (274 nucleotides) under uncultured bacterium. RNAcentral describes it as "partial 16S ribosomal RNA". It matches the Rfam family "Bacterial small subunit ribosomal RNA", at positions 523 to 796 of the family's 1533-position model. The record is from RNAcentral.
AGACGAAGGUGGCAACCGUUGUUCGGAAUUACUGGGCAUAAAGCGCACGUAGGCGGGAAAGCAAGUCGGGUGUGAAAUCCCUCGGCCCAACCGAAGAACUGCGCCCGAAACUGCUUUUCUUGAGGACAGAAGGGGAGCAUGGAAUUCCUGGUGGAGCGGUGAAAUGCGUUGAUAUCAGGAGGAACACCGGCGGCGAAGGCGAUGCUCUGGUCUGUUUCUGACGCUAAGGUGCGAAAGCCAGGGGAGCAAACGGGAUUAGAAACCCCAGUAGUCC